GUUUUGGGCGGUGCAUCGCCGCAGCUCCAGGAGGAUCAGGUUGGUGUUCCUGCUGUUGUUUUUCUUUGGUGCCGAGGCUAAUGUCUGCCAAACCCAGCCUCCUGAUUGUCCUCAGCGCUGCUGCUGAAGGUGUAUCUGCACAAUCGUUUUAUCACUCCUAUACACUAUGUAGCACAGCUUUUAACCUGCAGAUUGCUACUCCAGGGGGGAAGCCGGCGGAUUUUGUGGGGCUGGAUGAGAACAAUAUACGCUGGAUCCAGGACUUCCGUAUGAAACCAUAUGCGAACCCGGCCAAGUUGGAAUCAAUUGAUGGUACUAGGUACAAUGCUAUCCUGAUUCCUAACUGUCCUGGUGCUAUGGUAGAUCUUGCAACCAAUGGAUACCUGGCCAAGAUUCUCCAGCAUGUCUGUGCUGAGAAAAAACCAAUUUGUGUGGUGGGACACGGAGCUGCUGCGUUGUGCUGUGCUACAAACCAGGACAAGUCGUGGAUAUUCCAGGGAUACAGUGUCACUGGACCCUCUGUCUUUGAGCUGGUGAGGAGGAAAGAUUUUGCAAGCCUUCCAGUCAUUAUGGAGGAUUUUGUGAAAGACUCUGGAGCCACCUUCAGUGGAAAUAAUUGCAUUUUAUUUCAUGAUCUUAUUCGGACUCAGCAUAUCGUUAACUGGAACCACUCACAAUCUCAACUCCCACGUCCAACAGUAAAAGCAGGAAAUCAACAAACCGUGUCAAGCAAAAGCUGAUCCUGAAGAAUACUUCAGGGACGUUGAAGAGGCUGGAGAAACAUUUCAUUUUCAAACGCAUGUUUUUGCACACACAAGAUUGUGAACCUAUUUUGAGGUUUGAUCCCCAAACAAGGUGGUUCUAAGAAUAUUACACCUGGCCCUACACCAGAUGUGACUUGGAGGGUUUGCAUCCUAAUCUCUAGUCGAGAAUCAUUAUUGAGGUCUGGGAAUGGGAAGCACAGCAGCAAUGUAUUGGACUGUCACUAACAAAGAACAUCUCAGAAGAAAUGACUAUAAUAUGGAUUCCAUUUGUUCCCAACCUACCCAACAACUUUAAAUCUUCCCCUUUGAGCCUCAGCAGUAAUGACUACAUUAUUCACCUAUGCCAUUAUGUGGGUGAGUUACCUCUUUCAAACACAACCGGUCUAACUCAUCCAGCAUUGUCACCUAAGUAGUUGACACAAUAAAUUUACAAAACAGGUUAACUUGCUUACAGAGC
This is an RNA transcript of Carcharodon carcharias (great white shark), 1221 nucleotides long. It is a transcript of the gene named glutamine amidotransferase class 1 domain containing 1, with no coding region annotated. Lineage: Eukaryota; Metazoa; Chordata; Chondrichthyes; Lamniformes; Lamnidae. The record is from RefSeq and is a predicted model, not a curated record. The transcript has 9 exons.